CCUACGGGAGGCAGCAGUGGGGAAUAUUGGACAAUGGGGGAAACCCUGAUCCAGCGACGCCGCGUGAGUGAAGAAGUAUUUCGGUAUGUAAAGCUCUAUCAGCAGGGAAGAAAGAAAUGACGGUACCUGACUAAGAAGCCCCGGCUAACUACGUGCCAGCAGCCGCGGUACUACGUAGGGGGAAAGCGUUAUCCGGAUUUACUGGGUGUAAAGGGAGCGUAGACGGCGAUGCAAGUCUGAGGUGAAAGGCGGGGGCCCAACCCCUGGACUGCUUUGGAAACUGUAUGGCUGGAGUGCAGGAGAGGUAAGUGGAAUUCCUGGUGUAGCGGUGAAAUGCGUAGAUAUUAGGAGGAACACCAGUGGCGAAGGCGGCUAACUGGCCCGUAACUGACGUUGAGGCUCGAAAGCGUGGGGAGCAAACAGGAUUAGAUACCCUGGUAGUC
Molecule: ribosomal RNA, 443 nt
Filed under: uncultured bacterium
Lineage: Bacteria
Description: partial 16S ribosomal RNA
Rfam family: Bacterial small subunit ribosomal RNA
Source: RNAcentral